This is a long non-coding RNA of Acanthochromis polyacanthus (spiny chromis), 1750 nucleotides long. RefSeq lists it as uncharacterized. Lineage: Eukaryota; Metazoa; Chordata; Actinopteri; Pomacentridae. The record is from RefSeq and is a predicted model, not a curated record. The transcript is spliced from 3 exons.
CAGAUUGUUUCCACUUGUUCCCCAUUACCUUGGUGUGUUAAGCCUCGCCAGGUCUUUUGUUGGACUUUGCCUGCCAGAACCCUGCAGUGCUUUUGUUAUUCAUCUCCAGAAGUGAUGGACGGACAAUGAACUCGGCAGCUAAAAAUCACCCGAUAACUCAAGCCGUGUUCCCUAAAGAGGACGAUGAAUCCACGGCGUACGUCCACCGUGAAAAGUAAUCAUAGACCUCUGGCUCACCUCGACGUGCUUCAUCCCUCACACACUUUCAGCUGCUGUUUUGUUCUUCAUUCAUGUCGGACUUCCUUCCCAGCUAUUUGAGUGACAGCGUGGUGUUCGUUCCUGAUUAUGAAAUGCAGACGGAGUGUGCCAGAGGGAGAGCACCAGCAGCAGCACCAGCCAUCAGCCGGGACACUCACGUUGCUCCUAUGAUGUGUUUGCCUUGAGCUGAGCUGACUCAAACAGCGCCGGGUGAGUUAAGCAGAGCCUCUACAACGUGACGAAAAAGUAAUGGCUAAAUCCUAAAUGGUAAGUAACUGAACUCACUAGUGAUAAUCCAAGUGGCAGGAGUUCCACAAUGUGAGUGCAGAGAGACCCAACUUCCUGUUUGCUUUGGGCUUAUUGACUUUAGGAUCCUGCAAACAAUCCCGCUUUUUCUUCUAUCUCUAAACUUUUUAAUUUAGAGAAAUUGCAACAAAGCAACCCAAUCGAAUCUAGCGAGCCACUUUUAAAUCACCUGUAUUCAUCAUUUCUGUGGUGAGGUUGCCAGGAAACUCUGAUAUACACCAUCCCAUUAGCAGGUUAUGCAAGUUUGUGGAAUGUGCACACCUCCCUUAAAUGCUUCCCUUCAUUUUCCCCCUUUGAUGCGUCAACUGCUGAAAUAAGCUCCGUCGAUACUGCGUGAUGACUUUGGCUGUGAAGGAUAAUUGAUUGGCCGGGAUUAUCCCCCUCCAAGUCAUCUGCUGAUGGAGCUGAGACCGACAAGGUGAAGCGGUUCAACCAGAGAGCGUUCACCUCUAAUUCAACGUCACAGCGAAUGUCUCCGGUAAUGAUUGUAACUAAAUGUAAAAGAAAAAUAAUCAUAUAUUUUUUAAAUACAAUGCUUUUGUUCAAAUUAUCAGUGUAUAAACCUAGCUUGCAAGUAGUCACCAGUAUGUUUUUUCUGAAAAUAGAAAGCACUUUUCUUGCUCCACAUUAUUAAUUAUUAGGUAUCGGCACACUAGCUUUGCUUUUUCUCUUCUCUUUUCGAAACAAAAACAUCGUUCUCUAGCAAAGAGUACAUGUGCAAAAUGGCAGGAAAUGCAUUUCCUGCUACCUAUUUUUAUACUUUUAUAUAUGUUUUUAAAAUUGCACCUCUAUGAGAAGAGCUCAGAUAGAAACGAGAAGAACUCAAGAAUGUCUUUUUGCAGCAUCAAAAAAACUAGAUUUCUUUGCUGAUGUAUUUUACCAACUUGGAAAAACAAACUUGCAUUAGCAUGUGCAGGAUUUUUCUAAGCAUUCUCAGGUGUUAGAAAUAGUGGGGGAAAAAAUGGUAAGUCAACAUGAUUUAGAUGUCUUACCGCUUCACUUUUAAAAUCCUCUACAAACUCAGACCAUUUCACACUAGAGAGACGUUUCACCAUGCUGACUGUAUCUUACAAUAAUUUGCUCCUCUGUGUAUUGUUUAAGAACAAAGUGUGUUUUAUUUUGCUCUCAGUUUUUCUAAUUAUUUUCAGUACUUGUCUCCUCUCUGUUCUGUAUAAACAAUAAACAA